RNAcentral lists this ribosomal RNA (253 nucleotides) under uncultured bacterium. RNAcentral describes it as "partial 16S ribosomal RNA". It matches the Rfam family "Bacterial small subunit ribosomal RNA", at positions 524 to 776 of the family's 1533-position model. The record is from RNAcentral.
UACGGAGGGUGCGAGCGUUGUCCGGAAUCACUGGGCGUAAAGGGCGCGUAGGCGGCGCGAGCAGUCGGCGGUGAAAGCCCGGAGCUCAACUCCGGGUCGGCCGUCGAUACUCUCGUGCUUGAGCACUGUAGAGGCAGGUGGAAUUCCGGGUGUAGCGGUGGAAUGCGUAGAGAUCGGGAAGAACAUCGGUGGCGAAGGCGGUCUGCUGGGCCGUUGCUGACGCUGAGGCGCGACAGCGUGGGGAGCAAACAGG